RNA transcript from Vitis riparia (riverbank grape), 3351 nucleotides. It is a transcript of the gene named F-box/kelch-repeat protein SKIP11-like, with no coding region annotated. The transcript is spliced from 2 exons. The record is from RefSeq and is a predicted model, not a curated record. NCBI's taxonomy places the organism in Eukaryota, Viridiplantae, Streptophyta, Magnoliopsida, Vitales, Vitaceae.
AACAGAGAGAGAGAGAGAGGGAGAGAGAGAAAGGACCCCUCCAAAGAUUUUGCCAAUUGCCACAAAGCCCAAACCACACCCAAAGGCCGAAGGUAUUGUUGAUUUGCAGAGAGAAUCCAAAGGACGAAAGAGAGACUGAAACUGCAUAGCCAGAGAUAUACGGAAAAACAAAAGAGAUACACUAUUAAUCUUCUUAAUUAUUUCCAAUCAACUCCUCUUUCUUCUUAUCCAAUCCGCGUAAGUCCUCUUCGUAUUACUUACUACUCACUUUGCUUUUCUUUGUUUUCUUCUUCUUUCUCCGUUCAUACAAAUAAUUGCUCAAAUUUUUUUUUCUUUUAUUAAUAACACAAACCUGGACAGAUCUAAUCUAAUCUAGUUUGGGGUUUUGGUUUUCAAAUUAGAGUGUUAAGAGUUCUGGCUUUGAUCAUUUGUUGUUGUGCCUUAGCUGGAUGAAAUUUGGAGAUCUGGGUUGGCCAAUUUUCUGAGCGGUGAUUCAUUUUUUUUUUCUUCCUCGGGUUUUGGGAUUGUGGGCUGUUUUUGUUAUUGAAAUUUUGAUUGUUCGUGGUUGUUUUUGGGGGUAUCGGUUGUUCUCAUUUUUGACGAAUUUGGUUGUUCAAGAGGGGAUUUUGAAUUCGGAAACUUACAAGUUGUUGAAAUAAUUGGUGUUUCUUUCUCUUAAUCUGGAUCGUUGUUCCUUGGAUUCAGAUUGGUGAGCUUUGAUAUAAUAGUAAAAAAGGUUGGAUUUUCAUUUAAUUCUCCUCGUUUUUGUUUCUGAGUUUUCCCUAUUUCAUGAAACCAUUUACGAAUUAGGGGUUUUAGAUUUUCAAUCUCUUAAAAAAAAAAAAAAAUCCCACUUCCCCCCCUAUUUGAAUAGGUUCGAUUCUGUAUUUUAACCGGAUUUUGAGGGACUCGGGUGCUUCAGUUAUUGAUUUUUGGCUGCCGAUUUCAUUGUGGUAAGGAAGAAAGAAGGCUUUGGAUUGGACUGGCUUCGUGAAUUUGAAGCUGUUCCAGUGCUGAAUUACAGAGACAUGUUGGAGGGUCGGUCCUGUCUGUUUUCAAGGGCAUUACCGAGCUCCUGCGAACAAGAAAGCAACUGGUCUUACAUGACUUACCGGGUCGAGAAAAAAGAGAAACGCCCAUUAGAAAUUGAUGCAGAAGAAGAACUCCAAGUUGAAGAUGCAAAUGGAAAGUGCCCACCAGAUAUUGAUGCCCAAGAAAAACAAGUCAUCCCAGCCAUAAAAAGGAGACGCCCAUUAGAAUUUGAUAGCGAAGAAGAGUUCCGAAUCAACCUGGCAAUUGGAAAGUGCCCACUGGAAAUUGAUUUAGAAGACCAACACCACCCUGAUGUUGCAGGUGGGAAGCGGCCACUAGAAAUUGAUGGAGAAGAACCCCAACUAAGUUCGUUCUUUAAGCUGACCGAAGCUCGUGAAAGUGUCGAACCAACUCCGACCAUAAGUGAUCUCACAUUAUCCCCUGAAGAUCAAUCCCAUAAACAGGGUCCCCCAGAGGAUGAGUCAGAUAAGCCCGGAAUCAACCUCUCUCUGUCAUUGGCAGACCAAUCCAAUAGCCAGCAUCAAGCAGAAUUUAAUUCAGAUUUGGAUUCCCUUAUCCAACCCAUUGGCAGAGACUUGUCAAUUAGUUGUCUCAUCCGAUGCUCAAGGUCGGAUUAUGGUUUUAUUGCUUCGCUAAAUCGAAGCUUUCGUUCGAUAAUUCAGAGUGGUGAGCUCUACAGAGAAAGGCGGAAGAACGGGGUUAUUGAACACUGGAUUUAUUUUUCUUGUCAACUUCUUGAAUGGGAAGCUUUUGAUCCAAUUCACCAUCGUUGGAUGCGAUUGCCAACAAUGACCUUCAAUGAAUGCUUCAUGUGUUCAGAUAAGGAGUCUUUGGCUGUGGGCACUGAACUUCUUGUAUUUGGGAAGGAGGUGAUGUCCCACGUUAUUUAUAAGUACAGCAUUUUAACAAACUCAUGGUCUUCUGGAAUGAGUAUGAACGCGCCAAGAUGCUUGUUUGGGUCUGCCAGCCUGGGGGAGAUUGCAAUUUUAGCUGGUGGUUGUGAUUCACAGGGAAACAUCUUGAGCUCUGCAGAACUUUAUAACUCCGAGACAGGAGCUUGGGAGAUGCUACCAAGCAUGAAUAAACCGAGGAAGAUGUGUUCUGGGGUAUUUAUGGAUGGCAAGUUUUAUGUCAUUGGGGGAAUUGGAGGAAGUGACUCAAAGCCCCUUCCAUGCGGAGAGGAGUAUAAUUUGCAGACAAGAGUUUGGACUGAAAUUUCUGACAUGUCCCCUGUACGAAGUGGUGCACCCAGGGAGAAUGAGACUGCUGCAGCUGAGGCUCCUCCUCUAGUAGCAGUAGUAAACAAUGAAUUAUAUGCAGCUGAUUAUGCAGACAUGGAGGUGAGGAAAUAUGAAAAGGAGAGUAGACUGUGGCUUACAGUGGGGAGGUUGCCUGAACGGGCAGUAUCAAUGAAUGGUUGGGGUCUUGCAUUUAGAGCAUGUGGAGAUAAACUUGUUGUCAUUGGUGGACCCAGAGCUUUGGGCGAAGGGUUUAUAGAGCUCAAUUCAUGGGUCCCAAGUGAAGGGCCUCCACAGUGGAACGUGCUUGCUGUGAAGCAAUCGGGUAACUUUGUCUAUAAUUGUGCCGUGAUGGGAUGCUGAAGAGGUGGAUUUUGAUGGUACCAUGUGUACUAUAACAUGCCUCCCUCUGAAUGGGUCGCACAAGAUUGGUUUGUCCAUCUGCACCUGAUUCUUGCUAAUGGGUUCGGCUGUGACAUAUUCUUCUAGGGUGAACUGGCUUUGAUUUAUCCAUUAUGUAGAUCCUUCCUGAUUGAAAAUAUAAUUGGCUAGCCAGUUUCUGAUCUUCCAGAAUUAGGAUCUUAGUCUUAGGAUUAUCCAGUAUCAUAAAGGCAGCUUCAUUGUGUUGUAAUGGGUUCUCUUCUUUAUCUCGAUCAUUAUGACAUCUCAUAUUUGACGAUUACAGCCUGUAAUAUUUUCAUGAUUUGAGUAGGGAACUUGGAAGGGCUCAUUAACGUUUCCCUUUAGGUGAUAGGAUUCGUCUUUGGUAACCUUAUAAAAUGUUGUCUUCAUGCUCAACUUGUAAAUUUUUGAAGCUGGUGUGUUGGUGGAGCUUGCAGCAGCAUUGAAGAGUGGAAAUUGUGAAAAACAUUUAUUGUAACUCUAGGUUAGAGGUCUAUGAUACUGGGUUUGGGUUCAGUACUCCCCGACUUAAUCCGGACCUAGAGCAACUCAUGUUUAGGUGGUCCUUAAUGGCCUGCCCGUCCAGGACCGCUUAAGUGCAUCAGGGUAACCUUUGGAAGCUCUUAAUGGUCUCAGGCUCCUAUUGGCUUUGGAAGCU